CGGGAAACCGGGGCUAAACCCGGAUAACAUGUGAACCGCAUGGUUCGAAAAUUGAAAGGCGGCUUCCGGCUGUCACUAAUGGAUGGACCGCCGUCGCAUAGCUAGUUGGUGAGGUAACGGCUCACCAAGGGAACGAUGCGUAGCCGACCUGAGAGGGUGAUGGCCACACGGGACUGAGACACGGCCCAGAUCCUACGGGAGGCAGCAGUAGGGAAUCUUCCGCAAUGGACGAAAGUGAGGAGAACGCCGCGUGAGUGAGAAGGCCGGGUCGAAACUCGUUGUAGGGAAGACAAGUGCAGUGAAAAGCGCACCUGGACGUACCAACCAGAAAGCAGCGAUACGUGCCAGCAGCAGCGUAAAGUAGGGGCA
This 369-nucleotide ribosomal RNA is filed under the name uncultured Bacillus sp. Its description in RNAcentral is "bacterial SSU rRNA". It matches the Rfam family "Bacterial small subunit ribosomal RNA", at positions 150 to 536 of the family's 1533-position model. Lineage: Bacteria; Bacillati; Bacillota; Bacilli; Caryophanales; Bacillaceae. The record is from RNAcentral.